Molecule: long non-coding RNA, 1844 nt
Organism: Cannabis sativa
Lineage: Eukaryota; Viridiplantae; Streptophyta; Magnoliopsida; Rosales; Cannabaceae
Exons: 7
Source: RefSeq, a predicted model, not a curated record
AGAAUUCCAGCAUUUAAUUACAUUUACGGAUAACAUUUUUAAAAAAACGUUAUCAUCUUAUAUUAAUUAAAUCAAUAACCCCGUUGAGUUUCUUUAGACAUAAAUAUAUAUUUUAAAGUAUAAAAUUUCUAAACAUUGGGGAGUUAAAUUUCAAAAAGAAAAAAGACUAAGUACAGAAUAGUGCUCUGCUAGGGUUUUGGAGAUUUUUCAAAUUACUUCUGUUGCUAUGGCGGGAAGACUCAAAGGUCGAAAAAAAUGGAACGAAUGCAGCGAUUCAAAAACAGAGGGGACCGUCGUCGAAGACUGUUGAGAAAGACGAUAUCUAUGGCAGCGAUCUUUGAGAUCAACACAGUGGAAUUUUCUAAUUCUGAGGAAGAGAAGAUUGAUGAGGAUGCGGUGAAGAAUGACGAUGGAACCAUACUCUCGCAAAGAUCGAACGAGACUCUCUCGGAAUGGCUUGGCGUAAUGAAGAAGGCAGAGGCGACUACGAAAUGAGAUUGGGGAUUCCAAUAAGACUAAAAUCAGAAGUAGUGCUGCUAGGAAAUUAGGGAAUGUUAGAAUUGAUGAUGAUGAUAUAGAAGAGGAGAAUUUUGACUUGGGAGGAUGGGUAUUGUGAUAUUACAAAACCAGCAGAAAGGAAGUCAGAUGACAGUUAUUUCAAUGGAACAAAGGCAUUAUCAUUUUCAGGCUUUGAAAUAACCAUGCGUGAUAUUGGAUCCAGGGGAUGUCCAAUCGAACUUGCAGUGGCUAAUUUAUCAUGUCUUCAGUAUGCCUUAGGCGAAGUGUAGAGCUUUUAAUCUUUGGCUUUUCACAUACCUUAUUCCCAGGAAAUUUUGGGAUUUGUUUAGAUAAUGUUUUCACCAAUUAAAAAUGUGAAAAAACAUAGCUCUCUGAUUUGUAGAUAAUCUGCAGCUACACUGUUAAACAGUGAGUCAACUAAUUAGAUUCUUAUAUUUCUUUGAACUAUAAGAAGUGGCUGACCAUGAACUUUUAAAUAAUUAUCAGGUUGGUUGGUGAGGUGGCGUACACAGGGAGCCAUGCUUGGGUUUUCCUCAACAAUUUAUCCACCGGAUAUGUCUACAGCAAGUUGCUUCCUGAAUGGACAGAGGAAUGGCUUCUCUAGAUUUCAUUGGGUGUCAAGACAGUCUUGCUUGUACCUGUCCCUGAUGGGGUGUUGCAACUUGGCUCAUUGGAGACGGUUGCUGAAGAUAUGGCAGCUGUUGGUUUAAUCAGAGACAGAUACGAUGCUUUUCAUACAAUGAUGGAUGAGAGUUGGCCUUUCACGUUAACACAUAAUACUCAUGAUCAAGAACAUUAUUACUAUUACUACCACAGAAACCAAGGUUAUUAUUACUAGACUUAAACUCAUGAUCUCGAACCUUCCAUUCUAGGGUCUAGCAGAGGAGUUGAGCAAAGAUGGUGCAUGUGACAGAGCAAUUUUAUGUGUCAGCUGAAGGGGUAAGAAAAAACUCUUAACCAUUUUUAACAUCUCAGUGUUUUGUUUGUCCCAAUUUAAGCUUAUUUUUCACAUCGAUAAGUGAUUGCAGGGCGAUCGUCAGGUUCACCACAGGGAUUCUUCCAUUGUUUCAUACAAGGUCAAUCCUAAAUUUGUUGCUUGCCGAGAGGGUUAUGUCACUUGGUUUUGCCGCAAAGACUUGGCUGCACCUGCAAAUGCGCAUUUCAGACUCAUAUAAUAUUAAGUAUAUCAACCAUAAAUGUUAAAUGUUACAAAUAGAUUUGUGACUCAUUAGAAAUUAAAUGAGCUUUGAUCAUGUUAUUGUUUACUUGGAAUACAUGUAUUGGAUAUUUUGAUAAUAUACAAAAUAUAUUAGAUUGUUAUUUCA